GAUGAAGAACGCAGCGAAAUGCGAUAAGUAAUGUGAAUUGCAGAAUUCAGUGAAUCAUCGAAUCUUUGAACGCACCUUGCGCCCUUUGGACAUUCCGAAGGGCAUGCCUGUUUGAGUAUCAUGAACACCUCAACUCUCACGGCUUGUCCGUGAUGAGCUUGGACUUUGUGGGUCUUGCCGGCCUGUGGUCGGCUCCUCUCAAAUGGAUCAGCUUGCCAGUGUUUGGUGGCAUCACAGGUGUGAUAACUAUCUGCGCUUGUGGUUUUCCAUCAGAUAACCUUCAGUGAUAUGGAGGUUCGCUGGAGCUCACAAAUGUCUCUCCUUAGUGAGGACAGCUCUUUGAACGUUUGAUCUCAAAUCAGGUAGGACUACCCGCUGAACUUAAGCAUAUCAAUAAGCGGAGGA
RNAcentral lists this unclassified non-coding RNA (405 nucleotides) under soil metagenome. RNAcentral's name for it is "partial contains 5.8S ribosomal RNA, internal transcribed spacer 2, and large subunit ribosomal RNA". The stretch from base 1 to 121 matches the Rfam family "5.8S ribosomal RNA", at positions 35 to 154 of the family's 154-position model. The record is from RNAcentral.